RNAcentral lists this ribosomal RNA (492 nucleotides) under uncultured bacterium. Its description in RNAcentral is "partial 16S ribosomal RNA". It matches the Rfam family "Bacterial small subunit ribosomal RNA", at positions 29 to 507 of the family's 1533-position model. The record is from RNAcentral.
AGUGAACGCUGGCGGUAGGCCUAACACAUGCAAGUCGAACGGCAGCACAGUAAGAGCUUGCUCUUACGGGUGGCGAGUGGCGGACGGGUGAGGAAUACAUCGGAAUCUACUUUUUCGUGGGGGAUAACGUAGGGAAACUUACGCUAAUACCGCAUACGACCUACGGGUGAAAGCAGGGGAUCUUCGGACCUUGCGCGAUUGAAUGAGCCGAUGUCGGAUUAGCUAGUUGGCGGGGUAAAGGCCCACCAAGGCGACGAUCCGUAGCUGGUCUGAGAGGAUGAUCGGCCACACUGGAACUGAGACACGGUCCAGACUCCUCCGGGAGGCAGCAGUGGGGAAUAUUGGACAAUGGGGGCAAGCCUGAUCCAGCAAUACCGCGUGGGUGAAGAAGGCCUUCGGGUUGUAAAGCCCUUUUGUUGGGAAAGAAAAGCAGCAGGUUAAUACCCCGCUGUUCUGACGGUACCCAAAGAAUAAGCACCGGCUAACUUCGUG